UACGGGGGGGAGCAAGCGUUGUUCGGAUUUACUGGGCGUAAAGGGCGCGUAGGCGGUCGUGACAAGUCACUUGUGAAAUCUCCGGGCUUAACUCGGAACGGUCAAGUGAUACUGUCGGACUAGAGUACAGAAGGGGCAACUGGAAUUCUCGGUGUAGCGGUGAAAUGCGUAGAUAUCGAGAGGAACACCUGCGGCGAAGGCGGGUUGCUGGGCCAGUUCUGACGCUGAGGAGCGAAAGCCAGGGGAGCAAACGGGG
Molecule: ribosomal RNA, 256 nt
Filed under: uncultured bacterium
Lineage: Bacteria
Description: partial 16S ribosomal RNA
Rfam family: Bacterial small subunit ribosomal RNA
Source: RNAcentral